GAUGAACGCUGGCGGCGUGCCUAAUACAUGCAAGUCGAGCGAACAGACGAGGAGCUUGCUCCUCUGACGUUAGCGGCGGACGGGUGAGUAACACGUGGAUAACCUACCUAUAAGACUGGGAUAACUUCGGGAAACCGGAGCUAAUACCGGAUAAUAUAUUGAACCGCAUGGUUCAAUAGUGAAAGACGGUUUUGCUGUCACUUAUAGAUGGAUCCGCGCCGCAUUAGCUAGUUGGUAAGGUAACGGCUUACCAAGGCAACGAUGCGUAGCCGACCUGAGAGGGUGAUCGGCCACACUGGAACUGAGACACGGUCCAGACUCCUACGGGAGGCAGCAGUAGGGAAUCUUCCGCAAUGGGCGAAAGCAUGACGGAGCAACGCCGCGUGAGUGAUGAAGGUCUUAGGAUCGUAAAACUCUGUUAUUAGGGAAGAACAAAUGUGUAAGUAACUAUGCACGUCUUGACGGUACCUAAUCAGAAAGCCACGGCUAACUACGUG
This 497-nucleotide ribosomal RNA is filed under the name uncultured bacterium. RNAcentral describes it as "partial 16S ribosomal RNA". It matches the Rfam family "Bacterial small subunit ribosomal RNA", at positions 28 to 507 of the family's 1533-position model. The record is from RNAcentral.